Molecule: small RNA, 51 nt
Filed under: Arabidopsis thaliana (thale cress)
Lineage: Eukaryota; Viridiplantae; Streptophyta; Magnoliopsida; Brassicales; Brassicaceae
Description: ATSL149000
Source: RNAcentral
AUUUUUUCUGUUUUUUUUUUGUAAACCGCAUGAGUUCCAAAAUUUUGACUC